RNAcentral lists this ribosomal RNA (394 nucleotides) under uncultured bacterium. Its description in RNAcentral is "bacterial SSU rRNA". It matches the Rfam family "Bacterial small subunit ribosomal RNA", at positions 28 to 424 of the family's 1533-position model. The record is from RNAcentral.
GACGAACGCUGGCGGCGUGCUUAACACAUGCAAGUCGAGCGGUAAGGCCCUUUCGGGGGUACACGAGCGGCGAACGGGUGAGUAACACGUGGGUGACCUGCCCUCAGCUCUGGGAUAAGCCUGGGAAACCGGGUCUAAUACUGGAUAUGACUCCAUGACGCAUGUUGUGGGGUGGAAAGCCUUGUGCGGCUGAGGAUGGGCCCGCGGCCUAUCAGCUUGUUGGUGGGGUGANGGCCUACCAAGGCGACGACGGGUAGCCGGCCUGAGAGGGCGACCGGCCACACUGGGACUGAGACACGGCCCAGACUCCUACGGGAGGCAGCAGUGGGGAAUCUUGCGCAAUAGGGCGAAAGCCUGACGCAGCGACGCCGCGUGAGGGAUGACGGCCUCGGUU